UCUGUUAUAGUUUUAUAUGUGGAAUUUCAUCAUGUAAGAAGAAUGACAAAUAACUUCAGCAGAUAACUUUGCCUUUUACUUCAUCAAGAAAUCAAGGGUGCAUGUGACAGCCAGGAGAAUGUGCCUCACAGACCUUCAACUUUGUGGAGCUUAAUUGACCAAAGGCCCCAACUUCUACACUCUGAAAUCCAUCACCACAGCUGUGCCAACACCAGGCUUCCCACAGGCUGCUCCUGUGUAGCCAAUGACUGAGCAUGGCAGGCCUGUUCCUGGAAGGUACAGAACCCUCCAACACUCUUGCUAAACCUUCCUUACCCUGCAUAGCACUCUGAGAUGCUUCUACCCAACCAUCUCUCCCUCCUCCCUUCACUGGGGUCAGACCUGCAUUGCUGUCCGAUGGCUCCUCCAGUCUUCCCUGGUUCCCUCCCAUUUCCUCUCAGACGUGUAUCCUCCCCUAAAAAAUAUUAUUGCAUUUUCACCCCAUCUUGGUGUCUGCUUUCCAGAGGAUCUGCACUGAACACAGUACAGCUAGAGAGUUUGUUUAUAGAAACACACAUCUUCUCAAAUCAACUGAAUCAGAAUUUCUGGGGAAGGAACUUUUCAAGCAAUUUUUAAUUAAAUAUGAGUUUAAUGCUUAGCCAGGAUUGGGAAACCCUGGUCCCUAUUUACCCUUUGCCGCAUUCUCAAGUUAUAUUCUGUCUUCAACUUACUGAAAUUUGGUCUCUGCUACAAUUACUCUAAAGUCAUCCCUACAUAGAUAUCCCACAAGUACCUCUUAACUCAUAAGACUCAAAACUGAACCCAUCCUCUUUCUCCCUUUUGGUUGAUGAUACUCCCGUAGAUUCUAUCUCGGUGGCAUCUCUAUCAUCCGUUUACCCAAGCUCAAAACUCAGGAGUUGCUCCACUUCUGCUCGUUCACCUCCUGUGUCCAAUGAAUCAUUAAACAGAGCUCCCAGAAGCAAAGAUGCUGUCUUAUUUGUUUUAUACUCCUAUAUUUGACAUAGUAUUUGAAGCCCUUCAUUGUAUAUUUGAUAAUGAAAGAAU
RNAcentral lists this long non-coding RNA (1044 nucleotides) under Equus asinus (donkey). Its description in RNAcentral is "lncRNA (ENSEASG00005028141.1)". The record is from RNAcentral. Lineage: Eukaryota; Metazoa; Chordata; Mammalia; Perissodactyla; Equidae.